The sequence is a small nuclear RNA, 150 nucleotides long. Its record names the gene U1. It matches the Rfam family "U1 spliceosomal RNA". From Rfam's summary of the family: U1 is a small nuclear RNA (snRNA) component of the spliceosome (involved in pre-mRNA splicing). Its 5' end forms complementary base pairs with the 5' splice junction, thus defining the 5' donor site of an intron. The record is from Ensembl.
AUACUUACGUGGCAGAGGAGAUAUAUGAUCAGGAAGGCGGUUCACCCAGGCUGAGGCUCAGCUAUUGCCCUCUGGCUGUGCUGACCACUGCAAAUUCUCCAAAUGUGGGAAUUUGUUUUUAGUGGAGGACGGUGUAUGCUCCGAUUCUUU